CUGGUGACCGCCUUUUGUUAUGACAACACAAGGUACAACAAAAGUUUCUGGGCGUCGCCUGUCGCUUCGCGGCGGCCAAUCGGAUGUCGGACAUAAACUUUGUAAACAACACAGUUGCACGUUGUCACAAAAACACCCGAGUUGCGAAGUGCAGCGGUCGUCCGAGCGGCUGAGGGAGUCCCGGAGCCUGCUGGAGGCCCUCCCUCCCUCCCUCCCUCGGCGGUACACUGGGUGCCGUGCAGACUCCUGGACAGAUUAAGGUGAAAAGUGGAGGACAGGAAGAGGCAAACCAGAGCCAGACUGUCAGGCGACCCAUAUGGGUUCAUCACAACGACUCGGUAUCGUUACUUUGCCCCUCCCCCACAAGGAACCACCUCCCCUUUGCUCCGUUAUAAGGCACAGAGGAACCUCGCCACCUUUCUUAUUUCCUCCCUGGGUUUCCGUUGAUCUUAUUUCUGAGCCUGGCCAGGGUUUGCCCCUCUGGGUCUGCUUCCAGGGAGCUCUUUGAGCCCCUGUUUAAAGAAAGAAAAACUCCCCGUUGUGAAAGAUACUCAAUCAAGUGUUUGACAUUGGGCCGCCUCACUCUGAAAAGUUUGUUGGUUUAAGUCACGGUACUGCCAGGUUAGCAUGUGACAGCUAUGCCCCUACCUCCCCCAAGUGUGGCUGUCCUUCAGUGUUCAACAUGCUCUGUUGACUUAACUCUAUCUUUUUCUGGCACCUCUGGGUUUCAUAGAAGCUUAUAGGUCAAUAUAAGGGACCCAAAUAGAGAUAUGUGUGUGUAUGUGUGUGUUGUGUGCAGUUUCUGUGUGUGAAUAUGUAUUGCGGUCCCCUGUAGCAUUUUUAACUGGCGUGUGUGUAUUUGUAUAAUUUUUAUGUCACUUCCAUUUUUUCUGUACCCUUUGUUGCACUCACCAUAUAUAUGUUUUAUUGUGUGUGUCUGUGUGUGUGUGUGUGUGUGUGUGUGUGUGUGUGUGAGAGAGAGAGAAACAGAGAUGGUGUUAGGAAAGCAGUGUGUGCCGAGUGUGCCAAUUCGCCAGUUUGUGGUCUUGUUCUGAACGUUGUUAAUUAGUGCAGAAUGUGGACUACAGUUGGGUUGCCAACUCUGAUGAAAGGAGAAAGUGAGAGAGGGAGAGUGUGUAUGUGUGUGUGUGUGUGUGUGUGUAGAGGGGGAUGGUGGGGGGUAGUUGAGGGUGACUCAAACCUUGCCAGGCAUGAGGAAUUUGUGAUAGGAUGAGUGCGAUGCCGGGCACUAGCGGCAGACAGGAUCGUGGACCCACAGGGCAGGCACACAGUACAGACUCUCCCAUUAAGAGCGGGUGGGACGCGACCCCAAGCCCACCAACUUCACAGUGACCACAUGCUGCCUUGAGCCUUAGGGAUGGCAGACUCACAGUCUUCGGCUUCUAUUUAUUUAUCGCAUGUGUUUUUACAUUCAAGAAUUCAAGGUCUUAGAUCCUUAACUCUUCCCAACCCAAAGCAGUGCAGAUUGUUAUGAAAACUGUCAGUUUUGCGCUGCUCUGUUUCUCCAUUUUUGUUUACGUUCCACUCAGAGCUGUCGCUUUGCCUUCGAAAGACCCCGUUUUGAAUCUCUGCUCCAGCAAUAGUACUCUUGAACGAGAUAGUUACCAUUAACAGAUACAUUAAGAAUACCCUACUGUAUCAGUGGGUAAAUCAGUGUUAAAUUUAUUAUGUAACAUGAGUUGCUGUGGGUGACCGCAAGGACAGUGUGGGCUCACAGACCGAUGUACCAUCAGUCUACUGUGGCAAACAAGUGAUAAAGGUGCACCUUUGAAGGAGUGUGAUUGUAUUUAUUUUUUUGGAAAUAAAAUAUCUUGGGGUGGGGGCCCCA
Molecule: long non-coding RNA, 1849 nt
Organism: Scleropages formosus (Asian bonytongue)
Lineage: Eukaryota; Metazoa; Chordata; Actinopteri; Osteoglossiformes; Osteoglossidae
Source: Ensembl